UACGGAGGGUGCAAGCGUUAUCCGGAUUCACUGGGUUUAAAGGGUGCGUAGGUGGGCAGGUAAGUCAGUGGUGAAAUCUCCGGGCUUAACCCGGAAACUGCCAUUGAUACUAUCUGUCUCGAAUACCGUGGAGGUGAGCGGAAUAUGUCAUGUAGCGGUGAAAUGCUUAGAUAUGACAUAGAACACCAAUUGCGAAGGCAGCUCACUACACGAAUAUUGACACUGAGGCACGAAAGCGUGGGGAUCAAACAGG
RNAcentral lists this ribosomal RNA (253 nucleotides) under uncultured bacterium. RNAcentral describes it as "partial 16S ribosomal RNA". It matches the Rfam family "Bacterial small subunit ribosomal RNA", at positions 524 to 776 of the family's 1533-position model. The record is from RNAcentral.